This 1095-nucleotide long non-coding RNA is filed under the name Camelus dromedarius (Arabian camel). RNAcentral describes it as "lncRNA (ENSCDRG00005019790.1)". Lineage: Eukaryota; Metazoa; Chordata; Mammalia; Artiodactyla; Camelidae. The record is from RNAcentral.
AGUAAGUAUAGUUUUUGUUUUUUUGGAAGAUUAAACAAAAUUGACCGCCCCUAUUUCAAAAGAAACCUCACCAUUUCUUUUUUACAGCCCUCGAUUCGCCAUUUGCAAUUGUAAAGUCAAAGGGCAGGCUGGCAGAAGGUACAGGGACGACUGCGGCCGUUUGGUAGUUUUCCUCCUCCCACGGGGGGAACCAUAGGGUUCAACACGGCUCACUUUCCCUAAGACCAAGCAUCGUGACUGUUUAAGGCACAGAAGGGCUGGCCUCAGAGCUCCAAGUCCCAGGCCGGGGUCUGAUCUUGCCUAUCUCACGCUCGGCAAACCCGGGGGGAGCCCUAAACUCCGGCAGCAUCCUCACCAGUGGCUGCGCUCCCGGACGGCGCCCCCGGCGCCUCGGGUGCGGGAGUGCCCCGGACCGAGCCCGCGACUGCGUCCCCCGCCUGCAGGCUGGGGUGGGGGGCGCCGGACCCCCUGGGAGGCCGGGGACCCCUGCUCCUUCCCGGCCCCCCUCCCCACUUCCCCGAACUCCGGGCGCAGCCGGCCGGGGGCGCGGGCACUCACCGCGAUCAUCAUCGUGUCCUCUCCCUGAAACUUCGCGAGGUACUUGUCGCUGCGGGUCACCUCGGACUCUUUGAGAGGUCUGAAGCGACACAUCACUUUGCUGUUGCACUCCGCCGGGUCCACCAUCUAAUUCGGCGCCGGGGCCGGAGGCCGGGAGCCACUCCCCGUUGCUCAGGCUUGGAGGACGCGGGCCGCCCCGGGUUCACAGGGCUCGCGGGGGCCGAGGCUCCCCGGCGGGGGUGUUCGGGGCGUCGGGGACCCCGCGGGCAGCGCCCGCGCCGGCACCGUCGUCCGCAGGCUCACUUCCGACCCAUCAUGGCAGCCAUGGCGGCGGCGCCGGGCGGAGCGGCGGCGGCUCUCAGCUCUCCUCGCCGGCAUGGCAGCUGCGGGCUGCGGGGUUCUGGGGACGGCACGGCGGCCCUCCUUCCUCCUCCACCAGAGAUCAGACCAGGCCCCCCGUCGGCUCGCCGGCUGCCUCCCGAUAGCUCCUGAGGCGCGGACGGUGGGUAGGCGGCGGGAUGGGCUGUGGGCUGAAAG